This 1794-nucleotide long non-coding RNA is filed under the name Pelobates cultripes (western spadefoot toad). The record is from RNAcentral. Lineage: Eukaryota; Metazoa; Chordata; Amphibia; Anura; Pelobatidae.
GGAGUUACAGCCAGCCAGCCUCCUGCACGGUGAUAGCACGGGGUUACAGCCAGCCUCCUGCACCGUGAUAGCACGGGGUUACAGCCAGCCAGCCUCCUGCACCGUGAUAGCACGGGGUUACAGCCAGCCUCCUGCACCGUGAUAGCACGGGGUUACAGCCAGCCUCCUGCACCGUGAUAGCACGGGGUUACAGCCAGCCUCCUGCACGGUGAUAGCACUGGGUUACAGCCAGCCAGCCUCCUGCACGGUGAUAGCACGGGGUUACAGCCAGCCUCCAGCACCGUGAUAGCACGGGGUUACAGCCAGCCAGCCUCCUGCACGGGGUUACAGCCAGCCUCCUGCACGGUGAUAGCACGGGGUUACAGCCAGCCAGCCAGCCUCCUGCACGGUGAUAGCACGGGGUUACAGCCAGCCAGCCUCUUUCUCAUUUUAUCUACUAUUCUAGCUAUUUAUUUUCUAGGGUAUACUUCAAUGCUUGGGAAGGGGGUUUUAAAUAAUUAAGGGGACACUAUAUUCACCAGAACAGCUUAAUAUAGUUGUUCUGGUGAGUAGAAUAGCUCACUUCAGGCAUUUUUUAUGUAAAGGUAGUGUUUACAUUGCCUCUAGGAACACCUCCAAAUGGCCACUGGAGGUGGUGCUGAAAAAACAGCCCUGACGUUCGGCAUCCCUGCGCUCUGCAUGCAGGCACAGAAUUUUACUCAUAGAUGCAUUAUUAUGUUAUUAUUUAUAUAGCACCAACAAAUUGUGCAGUGCUUUACAAUGCAUUGAUUCAAUGCAUCUCUUUGAGGAAGUCCUGAUUGGUCAAAAAAAGCAUUUGGCCCCGCUCCCGUGCUGAUUUUAGCCAAUCUAAUGCUUUCCCAUCGCCAAAAAUUGGCCAUUUUGAUGAUGUCACAAAGGGGGCAGGGCCAGUGCCAGCUGACCCGCACGGCGCUGGAAAUAGUCAGUUUUAAAAACUUGUGUGGGGGCAAGCCACCUAAAUGGUGGGAUAAACACUAUAGGGUCAGGAAUACAUGUUUGUUCCUGAUCCUGUAGUGUUCCUUUAAGCAUAUGCGGACAGGAAAAAAAAUGAAUGCAAGGACUUUUCUCCCGCUAACAGAAGAUCAGGGCGGUCAGAGCAGAUUCAUCUUUUUUUAUUUUACAUUGAAUUUAUAUUCCUCUGCACAGUUCUGCAAAAACAACUGUGUGGUGUGAAUCCAAAAUGAUAGGUUCUUUCCAGGUGAAGAGUAAAAUAAAGCCAAGACUAAGUUUUACAAACAAAGGUUAAUCCUUUAUUGACCAAUUUGUUUAUUAACCACUUAUGGACCCCAUGAUGUCGAAUGCCUCCCAACUUUGGAAUGUGUGGGUGGAGUUUUGUGGGGGCUCGCCAGGGAUACAUGCUAUAAUGCCCACAGUGGGGUGGACUGUGUAAGUAAGGGUUGGUCUUGUUCAACAAGAGGACUGGCCAACCUGAAAAUGGGUAGGGUGUGCCAUCCGACAAGCAGCCUGGCAAGCCCCCUUCAAUCAGGACCGUAAAGAGAGCGCAGAUAAAGCGCUCCCUGCAUGGUCCUAAUGCUGCUACACAGCACAAGUACUAAUGAUUUGCUGCUGCACGGGGACAGUUCCUUGGUGUCCAGCCAAAAGCAGGACAGUUGGGAGGCGUGCUUUCAUGCCCAGUGACGCAGUAGACCAUCAUAUAUAUAUAUAUAUAUAUCAUAAAUAUCAUUGUGUGUGUGUGUAUAUUUUUUAAUGUAGACACAACUUCUUAAGACACAUGAGAUAUUUUAAUUUUACAACUGCUAUAUUUUAUGAUUACGG